Molecule: ribosomal RNA, 254 nt
Filed under: uncultured bacterium
Lineage: Bacteria
Description: partial 16S ribosomal RNA
Rfam family: Bacterial small subunit ribosomal RNA
Source: RNAcentral
UACGUAGGGUCCAAGCGUUAUCCGGAGUUACUGGGCGUAAAGCGUGCGUAGGUGGCGCGUUAAGUGAGGUGUGAAAUCUUGCGGCUCAACCGUGUAGAUUGCAUCUCAUACUGGCGUGCUUGAGGAUGGCAGAGGCAAGUGGAAUUGGCAGUGUAGCAGUGAAAUGCGUAGAUAUUGCCAGGAACACCAAUGGCGAAGGCAGCUUGCUGGGCCACACCUGACACUAAGGCACGAAAGCGUGGGGAGCGAACAGG